UACGGGGGGGGCAAGCGUUGUUCGGAAUUACUGGGCGUAAAGGGCUCGUAGGCGGCCAACUAAGUCAGACGUGAAAUCCCUCGGCUUAACCGGGGAACUGCAUCUGAUACUGGAUGGCUUGAGAUUGGGAGAGGGAUGCGGAAUUCCAGGUGUAGCGGUGAAAUGCGUAGAUAUCAGGAGGAACACCCGAGGCGAAGGCGGCUCUCUGGGUCGUACCUGACGCUGAGGCGCGAAAGCGUGGGGAGCGAACGGG
This 253-nucleotide ribosomal RNA is filed under the name uncultured bacterium. Its description in RNAcentral is "partial 16S ribosomal RNA". It matches the Rfam family "Bacterial small subunit ribosomal RNA", at positions 524 to 776 of the family's 1533-position model. The record is from RNAcentral.